Molecule: ribosomal RNA, 253 nt
Filed under: uncultured bacterium
Lineage: Bacteria
Description: partial 16S ribosomal RNA
Rfam family: Bacterial small subunit ribosomal RNA
Source: RNAcentral
GACGUAGGUGGCGAACGUUAUCCGGAAUCAUUGGGCGUAAAGAGCGUGUAGGCGGCCAGAUAGGUCCGUUGUGAAAACUCGAGGCUCAACCUCGAGACGCCGAUGGAAACCAUUUGGCUAGAGUCCGGAAGAGGAGAGUGGAAUUCCCGGUGUAGCGGUGAAAUGCGCAGAUAUCGGGAGGAACACCUGUGGCAAAAGCGGCGCACUGGACCACAACUGACGCUGAGGCGCGAAAGCUAGGGGAGCAAACAGG